AGGUAGCCCCGAUUGCAGUGGAAAUCUGUCAUUGCGAGGAACGAAGCAAUCUGUUCAAAAGAUUGCUUCGUUCCUCGCAAUGACGGAUUGUAGCGAAAAGCGGGACAUAUA
This 111-nucleotide small RNA is filed under the name Halpernia frigidisoli. Its description in RNAcentral is "Flavo-1 RNA". It matches the Rfam family "Flavo-1 RNA". The record is from Rfam by way of RNAcentral. Lineage: Bacteria; Pseudomonadati; Bacteroidota; Flavobacteriia; Flavobacteriales; Weeksellaceae.